UGGGGAAUUUUGGACAACGGGCGAAAGCCUGAUCCAGCAAUGCCGCGUGUGUGAAGAAGGCCUUCGGGUUGUAAAGCACUUUUGUCCGGAAAGAAAUCCUUGGCUCUAAUACAGUCGGGGGAUGACGGUACCGGAAGAAUAAGCACCGGCUAACUACGUGCCAGCAGCCGCGGUAAUACGUAGGGUGCAAGCGUUAAUCGGAAUUACUGGGCGUAAAGCGUGCGCAGGCGGUUUGCUAAGACCGAUGUGAAAUCCCCGGGCUCAACCUGGGAACUGCAUUGGUGACUGGCAGGCUAGAGUAUGGCAGAGGGGGGUAGAAUUCCACGUGUAGCAGUGAAAUGCGUAGAGAUGUGGAGGAAUACCGAUGGCGAAGGCAGCCCCCUGGGCCAAUACUGACGCUCAUGCACGAAAAGCGUGGGGAGCAAAACAGGAUUAGAUACCCUGGUAGUCCACGCCCUAAAACGAUGUCAACUAGUUGUUGGGGAUUCAUUUCCUUAGUAACGUAGCUAACGCGUGAAGUUGACC
This 525-nucleotide ribosomal RNA is filed under the name uncultured bacterium. RNAcentral's name for it is "partial 16S ribosomal RNA". It matches the Rfam family "Bacterial small subunit ribosomal RNA", at positions 355 to 870 of the family's 1533-position model. The record is from RNAcentral.